GAGCGGAGGUAUACGCUGGAUUGGUCUUCGGACCAAGCCUUGUAUACUUUAGCGGCGGACGGGUGAGUAACGCGUGGAUAAUCUGCCCUACACACUGGGAUAACACCUGGAAACAGGUGCUAAUACCGGAUAAGCAUACACUGACGCCUGUCAGAGUGUGAAAAGAUUUAUCGGUGUAGGAGGAGUCCGCGUAAGAUUAGUUAGUUGGUGGGGUAAAGGCCUACCAAGACUACGAUCUUUAGCCGAACUGAGAGGUUGAUCGGCCACACUGGGACUGAGACACGGCCCAGACUCCUACGGGAGGCAGCAGUGAGGGAUAUUGCACAAUGGACGAAAGUCUGAUGCAGCAACGCCGCGUGAAUGAAGAAGGCCUUCGGGUCGUAAAGUUCUAUCGAUGGGGACGAAAAAAAUGACGGUAUCCAAGUAAGAAGCCCCGGCUAACUACGUGCCAGCAGCCGCU
RNAcentral lists this ribosomal RNA (460 nucleotides) under uncultured bacterium. Its description in RNAcentral is "bacterial SSU rRNA". It matches the Rfam family "Bacterial small subunit ribosomal RNA", at positions 64 to 519 of the family's 1533-position model. The record is from RNAcentral.